This 270-nucleotide ribosomal RNA is filed under the name uncultured bacterium. RNAcentral describes it as "partial 16S ribosomal RNA". It matches the Rfam family "Bacterial small subunit ribosomal RNA", at positions 524 to 794 of the family's 1533-position model. The record is from RNAcentral.
UACGGAGGAUGCGAGCGUUAUCCGGAUUUAUUGGGUUUAAAGGGUGCGUAGGCGGGAUGUCAAGUCAGCGGUAAAAUUGUGGAGCUCAACUCCAUCGAGCCGUUGAAACUGACGUUCUUGAGUGGGCGAGAAGUAUGCGGAAUGCGUGGUGUAGCGGUGAAAUGCAUAGAUAUCACGCAGAACUCCGAUUGCGAAGGCAGCAUACCGGCGCCCGACUGACGCUGAAGCACGAAAGCGUGGGUAUCGAACAGGAUUAGAUACCCGAGUAGU